UUCGUAGAAAAAAAAAGGCGUGGUCAUUUCCUUCCUCGAGAAGACAGAGAGAGGACGCACGCCACCUCCUCCCCACCUUCGCCAGAUACGACCGCCCAUUCAUCGCCGCCACCCAUCGCGUCGCCCGCCCACGACCUUCUCUCAUCUUCCACCCGCGACGGCGUCCCGUCCACCUCGAGAUGUACGGCGACGGCGUCCCGAUGGAGAACCCUGGCCGCAGCUGGUCGCCGGCGCUCCUCCGCUGCGCGCCCCAGGUGACCCCCACGGAUCCGCGGCGCCGAGGGCGGCGCACACGGUCCGCGACCUGGCGGAGGAGGGGAAGAAGCGGGCCGUGUUGCUCCUCGUCUUCGCCUUCGGCCUCGCCUUCCUCAUGUCCAUGACAAGCUCUUCAGUCUGGAUUAACUUCCCAUUCGCCAUAUCUUUGAUAGUUCUGUUUCGCUACCUAUCACUUGACUAUGAUUUCCGUAGAAAGAGCACAACAACCACAGAUCGUGAUGCCAGUCGCCCACUUGCCAAAACAAAAAAGUAUUGAAUUAAGCAAACCUUCACUUACCCAGAAGAAUGGAAAUUCCAGUUGGAGGAGCAAGGUGAACUCACCUCCAGUUGAAGCAGCAUUUGAACAGUUCACAAGGCAUCUUGUCACCGAGUGGGUAACAAAUCUUUGGUACUCCCGUAUAACACCUGAUAAGGACGGACCGGAGGAACUCAUCAGCAUAGUUAAUUCUGUCCUUGGAGAGAUUUCUAACUGGGGAAGAAGCAUUAACAUCAUCACUCUGUUAACCAGGGACCUGGUCUCAUAUGCAAUAAUUUGGAGCUUUAUCAUUCCUGUGAAGCUAAGAUUGGAAAAGAGAAGUUUGUUAGACUCCCGACGGAGCGUCGUGAUGCUGAACUGAAACUCGGCCUUGUAGCUCAAAGCAAGUUGCAUCCAGCUUUAUUUUCAGCCAGUGCUGAAUACAAGGUAAAGACUUUGUUGAUGUUUAAGCUUUUUGUUAUUGCUUAUAGUAAGCUGCUUAGCUGCAAAGUAUCCAAGAUAAGGUUGGCACCUUGAUGAACACUUUGGUUUGGAACUGGAAUUUGGAUUAUGUUUCAUAAGUAACUUGGCUCCUUUCCCCAGCUCCCUUUCAUGCCAAAUCCUACAGAGCUUUGAUGAUGUUCUGUGCCAAUUUUCUUUUAGAAUUAUACUCUCCUUAAUGUUUGAUAUUUGAUCCUUAAUUAGUAUCUACUGCCCAUGAUUCUGUUGCUACUGGAAGCAUCGCCUUGAAUAUCGUUUAGCUUCGAAAGGGAAAGGUUCCAAUUGGGGAUUUUAUUACUGUUAGAGGGUAGGAUGUUCAACCGUGCAUUCAAUUUUUUUUCUCUGACUCUGUAUUGCUUUACUAUUGCGUGAAUUAUAUUUUUAUCCAGUUUUGCUCCUCUUGAUGAUUGGAAGUUAGCAUUGCUCCUGUUAGAGCAACAGUAUACCAAAACAAGAUCCAACCGAGCUAAGGAUGCUCUCUCUUGCUUUCCCAACAACUUCAGAAGAGAUUUCUGGAUCAGGUAUCAGGUCUAGAGCCAAUGGAGAGAAGCAACAUCAUGAUGCUGCUAUAUCUUAGUGGUCUUUCUUUCACAAUGGUGAUCUGCUUCUUAUCUGUUCUAGGUGUCACUGUCAUAGCUUACUUGGCAUAACCUUCCUUCUUUUGAUGGUUGUCAACACACAUUUAAGUCACACAUACACCAUACAAGAUGCAGAGCCUUUGGUAUAUGCAGCCGCACUCCCUUGCCGCCACCUGCUACUUCAAGUCCGCCGACGGCCACGUUGGAAACUAGGGCUUCUCCAUAGCCCGCCUCAAUUCUACCUCGCCCUCCUUGCUGGUAUACAUGCAUCUCAUUCAGUCUGUUCGUUGUACAACUUGUAGUGUCCACAAUUCAGAAGUAGGAGUUCACAGAAAACUGCUUCUCUGAAUCACUCAUUGUUCAGUUUCGUUCUCUUGUGGUUAAUUCAAAGAUCCAUUGCCAAAAGUGUGAAUAUGAGUGCAAAUAUGCUUGUCUUUUGAACUCUGGAACUGUUGCCUAUACAUGCCUAUUAUUGCUGAAUAUGAUGGAAAUGUGGAUGUUCACUGUGGUACUAAUAUAAGACCUUUUAUAGAUCUCUACUUUAGAGAUCUAUAAAAGGUCUUAUAUUAGUUUAAAGAGGGAGUAUUUAUCAGGAAGCAGCUUAUAGGACUUCCAAUAAGCAAGAAGUUUCAUAUAAUUUUCCUGGAUGCAAUAGGAUGAACUUUCAUUUUAUUGGAAGGUGCUAUAGUAUAAAUUUCAAAGACCCACUUCAGUUGUUGCUGUUAUGGUUUUAUAAAUCUUAAACAGAACAGUCUUUGGGUGAAUACAUCUAUUGUAUUUUGGUGAAUAAAAUGCGUCAGACAGAUCCCCACUCUUCAGCAGAUCUUAUAGAACAUUCAAAUUGUCUAUUAGCUAGAUUAGUUUCUCACUGCACUUUGUUUCAUUUUUUUUAGUUUGGAUCGAGUGUGAAUGUAAGGAAGAUAUUGUUGUCACAUAGUAAUAAUCCAUCUAUGAGUUACUAGGAGGUAGCUCAUGCAUGUUGAUUGUGCUUCAAGGUACAGUAGUUUGUAGCAUACAAAAUUUGUGGUUUGUAUAGGUUGUGCAUCCUAGGAACAAAGUUUGAUUCGUAGGUAGCUGAAGAAGCGAACGACUUUUGUUCUUUGCAUUGCAGGUUUCCUAUAUUCCAAAAAUUAAUGUGUAUUUAGGCGUGCUAUGUGACGCGUUGAGAGAAUAUGAUGGGAGGAGGAGACACAACACUCCACUCCACUUCCUAUUCUUGCCAUCACGUUGUUGCCACACUUGGGCUGGUUCUAUUGCGCAUGCUUCUUGCUAUUUGGAAUGCAUCGUUCUUAUUAUUUUUAGGUUAGCUAUCAUUUGAAUUGAUAACAGGACAAGGUUAUCAACUCUUUCUUGGCUAGGAACAUAUUUUUGCAGGCCAGGAGGAAGCUUGAGAACUUGCUGCCCGAUCUCGCCAGGGCGAUGAGAUGGAGGCCUGCUCACUGCUGCUCCACUGUUCGCUACACUUUCAGGGCCUCAGGGAGCACCUCCUUACUGACGACCUCUUCCUCAACAAGCUCGUCGUGGAGUGCGUCGUUGGGUCAACUCCAAUGUCCUUUAUUUUGAGAAUUCAUCAUUCACCGCUCUGUAGACAGAUCGUUGCUGACCGUCAUUACCACCUAUAUAUACUCAAUGUAGUGUGAUUCUUAAGGCCGUUAAGAGUCGUACAUACGUCAAUUAGUGUGCUUCUUACGCUGGUUUUUGACAGUAUCUACAAAGUGUAUGCUAUGAUCAAAACUGGCGUCCCCUUCCUUUUGAACCAGCUAUACAGUUGAUUGCUACUAAACCAAAUUUAAUCUACUUUUAGCUCUAA
Molecule: long non-coding RNA, 3400 nt
Organism: Triticum aestivum (bread wheat)
Lineage: Eukaryota; Viridiplantae; Streptophyta; Magnoliopsida; Poales; Poaceae
Exons: 6
Source: RefSeq, a predicted model, not a curated record